UAACACGUGGGUAACCUGCCUUAUAGUGGGGGAUAGCCUUUCGAAAGGAAGAUUAAUACCGCAUAAGAUUGUAGUAUCGCAUGAUAUAGCAAUUAAAGGAGCAAUUCGCUAUAAGAUGGACCCGCGUCGCAUUAGCUAGUUGGUGAGGUAAUGGCUCACCAAGGCGACGAUGCGUAGCCGACCUGAGAGGGUGAUCGGCCACGUUGGGACUGAGACACGGCCCAGACUCCUACGGGAGGGCAGCAUG
RNAcentral lists this ribosomal RNA (247 nucleotides) under uncultured bacterium. RNAcentral's name for it is "partial 16S ribosomal RNA". It matches the Rfam family "Bacterial small subunit ribosomal RNA", at positions 111 to 348 of the family's 1533-position model. The record is from RNAcentral.